Non-coding RNA from Monosiga brevicollis, 82 nucleotides. NCBI's taxonomy places the organism in Eukaryota, Choanoflagellata, Craspedida, Salpingoecidae. The record is from Rfam.
GGAAAAGUUUUCAUUGGUAAGAUACCCUUCCUGCUAAGAAGGCACUAUAUUUAGUUUGUGGGUUCGAUUCCCACCUUUUCCG